UACGAAGGGGGCUAGCGUUGUUCGGAUUUACUGGGCGUAAAGCGUACGUAGGCGGGUGGUUAAGUCAGAGGUGAAAUCCUGGAGCUCAACUUCAGAACUGCCUUUGAUACUGGCCAUCUUGAGUUCGGGAGAGGUGAGUGGAACUGCUAGUGUAGAGGUGAAAUUCGUAGAUAUUAGCAAGAACACCAGUGGCGAAGGCGGCUCACUGGCCCGAUACUGACGCUGAGGUACGAAAGCGUGGGGAGCAAACAGGAUUAGAUACCCUGGUAGUCCACGCUGUAAACGAUGAAUGCCAGCCGUCGGGGAGCAUGCUCUUCGGUGGCACAGCUAACGCAUUAAGCAUUCCGCCUGGGGAGUACGGUCGCAAGAUUAAA
Molecule: ribosomal RNA, 374 nt
Filed under: uncultured bacterium
Lineage: Bacteria
Description: bacterial SSU rRNA
Rfam family: Bacterial small subunit ribosomal RNA
Source: RNAcentral